GCUGCUGUAGCCCAACUGGAAGAGGCGCUGGUCUUAGAAACCAGAGGUUGUGGGGUUCUCCCUUCGGGAGACGCUAACGCGAACGACUCCCACCAGCAGUA
Molecule: transfer RNA, 101 nt
Filed under: Richelia sp. SM2_1_7
Lineage: Bacteria; Bacillati; Cyanobacteriota; Cyanophyceae; Nostocales; Nostocaceae
Also listed under: 1 other name
Description: tRNA-Leu
Rfam family: tRNA
About the family: Transfer RNA (tRNA) molecules are approximately 80 nucleotides in length. Their secondary structure includes four short double-helical elements and three loops (D, anti-codon, and T loops). Further hydrogen bonds mediate the characteristic L-shaped molecular structure. tRNAs have two regions of fundamental functional importance: the anti-codon, which is responsible for specific mRNA codon recognition, and the 3' end, to which the tRNAs corresponding amino acid is attached (by aminoacyl-tRNA synthetases). tRNAs cope with the degeneracy of the genetic code in two manners: having more than one tRNA (with a specific anti-codon) for a particular amino acid; and 'wobble' base-pairing, i.e. permitting non-standard base-pairing at the 3rd anti-codon position.
Source: RNAcentral